CAGGAGUUAAGGCAGAUGUGGAGGCACAACUUGUGAUACCAGACACACACCAAGCACAUUAUGUUCGGACAUUCAAUCAUGACAGGAUCCAGGUGGAUGCUGUCCAUUGAUGAAAGAGUUUGUUCAGCGGUUUCUGGAUAGAAUUAAUUCCAAAGAUGGGAAAAAGUGCACAUCCAGACAAGGAGCAAGCAAAAAGACAAGGAACUUGGUGCAGAGAAAAGCUGUGGCCAUUAACCCCCAUGUGAACAGCUUCAUGCAGUCCCUGAUUGAGUUCGAAUGGACGACUUCAAAGUAAAGGCCACUGUGGUCUGUCUGCCACAGUUUAAUGCAUUUAUUUUUAGUGUUAAAUGAAAUUCAAGUAGAAUAUUUAAAACUAUGGGCCAGUGUUCUUUUUACCACAGUGAAAUGUUACCUUUUAGUCGAUGAUGGACUUUAAACUGAAAACUUCAAACUAUGGACCAGUGUUCUAUUUGCCAGAGUUAAAUAUGUUACAGCAGGGGUCU
Long non-coding RNA from Paramisgurnus dabryanus, 503 nucleotides. RefSeq lists it as uncharacterized. The record is from RefSeq and is a predicted model, not a curated record. NCBI's taxonomy places the organism in Eukaryota, Metazoa, Chordata, Actinopteri, Cypriniformes, Cobitidae.